Molecule: long non-coding RNA, 1119 nt
Filed under: Equus caballus (horse)
Lineage: Eukaryota; Metazoa; Chordata; Mammalia; Perissodactyla; Equidae
Description: lncRNA (ENSECAG00000050837.1)
Source: RNAcentral
UUAUGUUGUGGGGAUAAACAUUAUGUCUCACUAGGGAAUGUCUGCCCCGCGUGACAUUGUAAGAGCUCAUAAAUCCACCCUUCAGGCAGUGUUAAUUAAACAUGCCAAAGGAGAUCUCAUUUUAAAAAUGGCCAAAAUGGGGCAACUUCAGUUUAUUCAAACUGAUAUGUGCACUCUGAAAAAGCCGGCUACAACACGGGAAGGCUGUUUGAAACAUAGGAGGCUUCUAAAUGACAUCGGAAAUACUUUACUGCCUCCUUAAGAGAAAACAAUUAAAUAAUUCAACAUGUUAGCAGCCAAAGCCACAUCUGCUGCUUCUCUCACUGAGACUCCCCACUUCAACUCCCCUGAAAUUCCUGAUCUAAAAUUAAACAAGUGAAAAUAAGUAAACCUGUGAGACAAUUUGGAAUCGUAAUGGCCGUUCUGGGGAGCCUCUGUUUCAGAAACACUUCUUAUUAAAUACCUGGUUACUUACCUACGUGAUACAGGCCUAACUUUGGAAGCCCACCUGCAUCACUGCCUUACUAAAAGACUCGUUCAACAAGAUGGAACAACCUACACCCUGAUUCAGUAGGAAGUAGUUAGAUAGGUCAUCAUCCCAAAUCCCUCAAGACUGAGAAAUGAACAUAAAAUAGGGGGUAAUUGAUACUGGCCCUGAUAUCAGUUCCCCUUCAUUAAACCCAGCAUAGACGGAGUUAAAACCAAAACAUUCUUGCCCAGCUUACUCCCUGGCUCCCUGGCUCCAGAAUCCACUAUCAGCCAUAGAGACAGAUGGCCAAGAACAGCCACCUGGAUUCCUAAUCAUCUUCUCCUCCUCCCUGCAAGCAGCAUCCCAAGGCUGAACACAGACUGGUGGGAAAGCUCUGACCAGCAAGGCCAUUGACUCCCCCACCUCUCCACAUUCUUCACAAACCUUUAAAACCCCUCACCUCCUCUCUUUCCGGGAAAUGAGAGGAAACAAGACAAAUUUGAGGGCUCACUCUCAUCUCCUGGCUGAUGUCACUCUAAAUAAAAACACUUUCCUUGCCAUAAGCCUGAUCUUCCAGCUUUUAUUUGGCCCCUCUUGUGUGGUGGGUAAAGAACCUAUGUUUGUAGGCGGUAACAAUCCCUACAUUUCAU